AACGAACGCUGGCGGCAUGCCUAACACAUGCAAGUCGAACGAGACCUUCGGGUCUAGUGGCGCCCGGGUGCGUAACGCGUGGGAACCUGCCCUUAGGUUCGGAAUAACUCCCCGAAAGGGGUGCUAAUACCGGAUAAUGUCUUCGGACCAAAGAUUUAUCGCCUUUGGAUGGGCCCGCGUUGGAUUAGCUAGUUGGUAGGGUAAAAGCCUACCAAGGCGACGAUCCAUAGCUGGUCUGAGAGGAUGAUCAGCCACACUGGGACUGAGACACGGCCCAGACUCCUACGGGAGGCAGCAGUGGGGAAUAAUGGACAAUGGGCGAAAGCCUGAUCCAGCAAUGCCGCGUGAGUGAUGAAGGCCUUAGGGUUGUAAAGCUCUUUUACCCGGGAUGAUAAUGACAGUACCGGGAGAAUAAGCUCCGGCUAACUCCGUG
This 433-nucleotide ribosomal RNA is filed under the name uncultured bacterium. Its description in RNAcentral is "partial 16S ribosomal RNA". It matches the Rfam family "Bacterial small subunit ribosomal RNA", at positions 29 to 507 of the family's 1533-position model. The record is from RNAcentral.